UUCAUGAGUACUUAUAUAAUUACAGGUUUACAGAUAUACCAAAUAUCUAAAUCUAUGAAAUCUCUUUAUAGGUUUCUGCUUCAGAUUUACAAGGUACUUGCAGACACUAUACUAUACAAUAGUACACUACAGUUGAACUUACGCAAUUCCAAAUGAAAGAUCAUAUUUAUACAGAAGGGUAUUAAAAUGCAUACAUACAAUAUUCUCCUCUUUCUUCUAUAUUGAGGGAAAUUUUCAGUGAAGUUGAAAUAUAUAUGGCGAAAUAAAAUUAAAUUUCGAGAAAUACAAAUUUCGAAAUGAAAAAGUAUUAAGAAUGUUCCACUCUGCGUGGUGCAUGCCCCCACCAACUGGCAUGUGCGGGUGUUAGUCAAAUGCCCUCAGCUUCGCCACUGCAUUUCAAUUUCCUGAUCUUGGAAAUUGAAAGAUUGCUUCCGAUGCACCUAUACUAACUAUAGCACGUCACAGACCUAUUCCGGGUACUAAGAAUUUCAACACACUA
This is a non-coding RNA of Paramuricea clavata, 499 nucleotides long. NCBI's taxonomy places the organism in Eukaryota, Metazoa, Cnidaria, Anthozoa, Malacalcyonacea, Plexauridae. The record is from the annotation of a GenBank genome assembly.